GGACGACGCUGGCGGCGUGCUUCAUACAUGCAAGUCGAACGAGAAGCUCACUUCGGUGAGUGGAAAGUGGCGGACGGGUGAGUAAUGUGUAGAGAAUCUGCCCUAGAGUGGGGGAUAGCAGUUGGAAACGACUAUUAAUACCCCAUAUGCGCGUAGCUGAGAUGCUAUUCGUGAAAACUCCGGUGCUCUAGGAUGAGUCUGCAUCUGAUUAGCUAGUUGGCGGUGUAAUGGACCACCGAGGCGACGAUCAGUAGCUGGUUUGAGAGGAUGAUCAGCCACAAUGGGACUGAGACACGGCCCAUACUCCUACGGGAGGCAGCAGUAGGGAAUUUUGCGCAAUGGGGGAAACCCUGACGCAGCAACGCCGCGUGAAUGAAGAAGCCCUUCGGGGUGUAAAGUUCUGUCAGUGGGGGCGAAACUUGACGGUACCCACAGAGGAAGCAUCGGCUAACUCCGUGCCAGCAGCCGC
RNAcentral lists this ribosomal RNA (469 nucleotides) under uncultured bacterium. Its description in RNAcentral is "bacterial SSU rRNA". It matches the Rfam family "Bacterial small subunit ribosomal RNA", at positions 33 to 518 of the family's 1533-position model. The record is from RNAcentral.